This 249-nucleotide long non-coding RNA is filed under the name Lathyrus oleraceus (garden pea). RNAcentral's name for it is "Pisum sativum (pea) long non-coding RNA (PSAT_LNC041341)". Lineage: Eukaryota; Viridiplantae; Streptophyta; Magnoliopsida; Fabales; Fabaceae. The record is from RNAcentral.
AGAAUUGGAAGAGUUUGAAGAGCCAGGAUCUUGUAUCCUUCCUGCUUUGAUGAGGCUUUCAGUUCGUUCUCCACAGACGACAACAUCUGAAAAGCUACUGAACGGGCAACUUCCCAAACGAUCCAUGAACACACCUUGCAGGGUUCCAAUGAACAUGUCAGUCAGCUCUCUCUCCAGCAUAGGAGGUUGCACUCUGGCGGCUAGCUCACGCCAUCUCUGAGCAUACUCUUUGAAACUCUCCUUGUCUUU